RNAcentral lists this ribosomal RNA (1490 nucleotides) under uncultured bacterium. RNAcentral's name for it is "bacterial SSU rRNA". It matches the Rfam family "Bacterial small subunit ribosomal RNA". The record is from RNAcentral.
AGAGUUUGAUCCUGGCUCAGGAUGAACGCUAGCGGCAGGCCUAAUACAUGCAAGUCGAACGGUAAGUGUAGUAGCAAUAUUAUACGAGAGUGACGUACGGGUGCGUAACACGUAUGCAACCUACCCUUUACAGGAGGAUAGCUCGGGGAAACUCGAAUUAACCCUCCAUGAUAUCAUUUAGUGGCAUCAUUGAAUGAUUAAAACUCUGGUGGUAAAGGAUGGGCAUGCGUCUGAUUAGUUAGUUGGUGCGGGUAACGGCCCACCAAGACGAUGAUCAGUAGGGGAACUGAGAGGUUGAUCCCCCACACUGACACGGCCCAGACUCCUACGGGAGGCAGCAGUGGGGAAUAUUGGACAAUGGGCGCAAGCCUGAUCCAGCAAUGUCGCGUGGGUGAAGAAGGCCUUAGGUUGUAAAGCCCUUUCGUUAAGCGAAAUUUUUUGAUUCGUUUAAAAAAGAAGUCCCGGCUAACUUCGUGCCAGCAGCUGCGGUAAAACGGGGGGGGCAAGCGUUAUUCGUCGUGACUGGGCGUAAAGGGUCCGUAGACGGUUUGUUUUUUAUUGCAGAGACAUUUUGUAAUUUAUUACAUUUUUCUGCUUAUUUUUAGCAACUCUAGAGUGUAAUUUAGAAUUUUGGUAUUCUCGAUGGAGGGGUGAAAUCCGUAGAUAUCGAAGGGGACCACCGAUGGCGAAGGCAAAAAUUUAUAUUACACUGACGUUGAGGGACGAAAGCAUGGGUAUCAAACGGGAUUAGAGACCCCGGUAGUCCAUGCCCUAAACUAUGGAUCUUAAACUCUAAUUUUUUUGAGUUUUAGUGAAAACGUUAAAGAUCCCGCCUGAGUAGUAUGAUCGCAAGAUCGAAAUUCAAAGAGAUUGACGGAGAUUCGUACAAGCGGUGGAGCAUGUGGUUUAAUUCGAUGUAACACGCAAAAUCUUACCAAUUCUGAACUACGAAAGUAUAAUGCAUGUAAUUUUGUAUUUUAAAACUGUAAUUUUUACAGUUUUUUAUUUUCGAUAGGUGCUGCAUGGCUGUCGUCAGCUCGUGCCUUAAGGCGUUCGGUUAAUUCCGGUAACGAGCGCAACCCUAAUUAGUAUUUUUAUAUGCUAACAUUUAAGGUUAACUUAAAUUAAUUAGGACCACGUCAAGUCAGUAUGGCCCUUAUGAAUUGGGCUACACACGUGCUACAAUGGUAAUUACAGUUUUGAGACAAAAUUGCAAGAUUUAGUUAAUCAAAAAAAGUUACCUUAGUUCAGAUUGAGUUCUCAAAAUUCGGACUCAUGAAGGCGGAAUCGCUAGUAAUCGCAAAUUAUAAUGUUGCGGUGAAUAUGUCAACGAGUCUUGUACACACCGCCCGUCACGCCAUGGGAGUUGGUUUAGUCUGAAGUUUUACAUGUUAUUUCCUUAUAUUCUGGUUACGUACGACCGGUUUAGGGCUUAGUUUGGUUUUCUAGGAUUAGAUUGGUGACUGAGGCGAAGUCGUAACAAGGUAACC